RNAcentral lists this ribosomal RNA (507 nucleotides) under uncultured bacterium. RNAcentral's name for it is "partial 16S ribosomal RNA". It matches the Rfam family "Bacterial small subunit ribosomal RNA", at positions 28 to 507 of the family's 1533-position model. The record is from RNAcentral.
GACGAACGCUGGCGGCGUGCUUAACACAUGCAAGUCGAACGGGCCUUGUCCCCUUUUUUUUGGGGGUGGGGUUAGUGGCGAACGGGUGAGUAACACGUGAGUAACCUGCCCCUCACUUCUGGAUAACCGCUUGAAAGGGUGGCUAAUACGGGGUGUUCUGGCCUGCUUGCAUGGGUGGGUUUGGAAAGAUUCGACCGGUUUUGGUUGUUUUGGUGGGGGAUGGGCUCGCGGCCUAUCAGCUUGUUGGUGGGGUGAUGGCCUGCCAAGGCUUUGACGGGUAGCCGGCCUGAGAGGGUGGGCGGUCACACUGGGACUGAGACACGGCCCAGACUCCUACGGGAGGCAGCAGUGGGGAAUAUUGCACAAUGGGCGCAAGCCUGAUGCAGCGACGCCGCGUGAGGGAUGGAGGCCUUCGGGUUGUGAACCUCUUUCGCCAGUGAAGAAGGUCCUGCUCUUUGUGGUGGGGUUGACGGUAGCUGGGUUAAUGAAGCGCCGGCUAACUACGUG